This 465-nucleotide unclassified non-coding RNA is filed under the name Hevea brasiliensis (rubber tree). The record is from RNAcentral. Lineage: Eukaryota; Viridiplantae; Streptophyta; Magnoliopsida; Malpighiales; Euphorbiaceae.
UGUAAGAGUGUGUCAAUCAGGUAGAGAGGAACGUAAUGUCCAAUCUAGAACAGUUUAUGGUAGCAAUGCGACUAGAACAGAAGCAGCGCAUGACCUCUUUUCAGCAAGAGCAAGAGCAACAUUUUAACAAAUUAGAAAGGAUGAUUGCCUCCUUGGCUCGAGGAAAAUCAACAUUCUUGGAGGGGGACUCUUCCUCUCAAGCAACUCCAGGGAGCACGUUUCAAACCAUUCCACCAGCUGCUAAUGCACUUGUGGUUGAGGAAUUCCUUAUGGCUGUUAAAAAAAUUGAGUUGCCAAAUUUUGACAGAGUGGACCCUGUGGGAUGGUUAGCAAGAGCAGAACAGUAUUUUUCAAUUAACAAAACUACUGAUGAGAUGAAAGUUGAACUAGCUUUGAACUGUAUGGAAGGACCUGCCCCUUCAUUGUAUGCAUUGGUUAUGCCAGCGCACUCCUACUAUUUCAUGG